Molecule: ribosomal RNA, 460 nt
Filed under: uncultured bacterium
Lineage: Bacteria
Description: partial 16S ribosomal RNA
Rfam family: Bacterial small subunit ribosomal RNA
Source: RNAcentral
CCUACGGGAGGCAGCAGUGAGGAAUAUUGGUCAAUGGGCGCGAGCCUGAACCAGCCAAGUAGCGUGAAGGAUGACUGCUCUAUGAGUUGUAAACUGCUUUUGUACAAGGGUAAACCUGAAUACGUGUAUUCAGCUGAAAGUACUGUACGAAUAAGGAUCGGCUAACUCCGUGCCAGCAGCCGCGGUAAUACGGAGGAUCCAAGCGUUAUCCAGAUUUAUUGGGUUUAAAGGGAGCGUAGAUGGGUUGUUAAGUCAGUUGUGAAAGUUUGCGGCUCAACCGUAAAAUUGCAAUUGAUACUGGCAGUCUUGAGUACAGUUGAGGUAGGCGGAAUUCGUGGUGUAGCGGUGAAAUGCUUAGAUAUCACGAAGAACCCCGAUUGCGAAGGCAGCUUACUAAACUGUGACUGACAUUGAUGCACGAAAGCGUGGGGAUCAAACAGGAUUAGAUACCCGAGUAGUC